AUUGAACGCUGGCGGCAGGCUUAACACAUGCAAGUCGAGCGGGGGAAGGUAGCUUGCUACCGGACCUAGCGGCGGACGGGUGAGUAAUGCUUAGGAAUCUGCCUAUUAGUGGGGGACAACAUCUCGAAAGGGAUGCUAAUACCGCAUACGUCCUACGGGAGAAAGCAGGGGAUGUUCGGACCUUGCGCUAAUAGAUGAGCCUAGGUCGGAUUAGCUAGUUGGUGGGGUAAAGGCGUACCAAGUCGACGAUCUGUAGCGGGUCCGAGAGGAUGAGCCGCCACACUGGGACUGGGAGACGGCCCAGCAUCCUACGGGAGGCAGCAGUGGGGAAUAUUGGACAAUGGGGGGAACCCUGAUCCAGCCAUGCCGCGUGUGUGAAGAAGGCCUUAUGGUUGUAAAGCACUUUAAGCGAGGAGGAGGCUACUUUAGUUAAUACCUAGAGAUAGUGGACGUUACUCGCAGAAUAAGCACCGGCUAACUCUGUGCCAGCAGCCGCUGUAA
Molecule: ribosomal RNA, 501 nt
Filed under: uncultured bacterium
Lineage: Bacteria
Description: partial 16S ribosomal RNA
Rfam family: Bacterial small subunit ribosomal RNA
Source: RNAcentral